RNAcentral lists this ribosomal RNA (1971 nucleotides) under human gut metagenome. Its description in RNAcentral is "bacterial LSU rRNA". It matches the Rfam family "Bacterial large subunit ribosomal RNA", at positions 523 to 2510 of the family's 2925-position model. The record is from RNAcentral.
ACCCCGGGAGGGGAGUGAAAAAGAACCUGAAACCCUGUGCUUACAAGCAGAGAGAGCACGAUUAAGUGUGAUCUCGUACUUUUUGUAGAACGGUCCGGCGAGUUACGUUAUGCUAGCGAGGUUAAGGACUAAAGGUCCGGAGCCGAAGCGAGAGCGAGUCUGAAUAGGGCGUAUAGUUGCAUGACGUAGACCCGAAACCGGGUGACCUAUCCAUGGGCAGGUUGAAGUGGAAGUAAAAUUUCAUGGAGGACCGAACCAGACGUCUGUUGAAAAAGGCGGGGAUGACCUGUGGAUAGCGGAGAAAUUCCAAUCGAACCCGGAGAUAGCUGGUUCUCCUCGAAAUAGCUUUAGGGCUAGCCUCGCAUUAGUUUACCGGAGGUAGAGCACUGAAUGGUCUAGGGGGCCUCACCGCCUACCGAAACCUAUCAAACUGCGAAUGCCGGAUAAAUGAUGUGCGGGAGUCAGGCCGCGAGAGAUAAGUUCCGCGGUCAAAAGGGGAACACCCCAGAUCGUCUGCUAAGGUCCCCAAGUACGCGUUAAGUGGGAAAGGAUGUUGGAUUGCACAGACAACCAGGAUGUUGGCUUAGAAGCAGCCACACAUUCAAAGAGUGCGUAAUAGCUCACUGGUCGAGUGAUCCAGCGCCGAAAAUGUAACGGGGCUAAAACGCGACACCGAAGCAGCGGGAUGCGUAAGCAUCGGUAGAGGAGCAUUGUGUGAGGGUUGAAGCCAGAGCGGGAGCACUGGUGGACUUCACAGAAGAGAGAAUGCCGGUAUGAGUAGCGAGACCCAUGCGAGAAACAUGGGCGUCGAAGGCCCAAGGUUUCCUGGGGAAGGUUCAUCCACCCAGGGUAAGUCGGGACCUAAGCCGAGGACUGAGGUCGUAGGCGAUGGACAGCAGGUAGAGAUUCCUGCACCACUUACACUUGUUUGACGAAGCAGUGACACAGAAGGAUAGGACGAGCGCGGUGAUGGUCAACCGCGUAGGCGGCACGAGGCUGGGGAGCAGUAAAGUACACUUCCCGGGAAGGCUGAGUGCUGACAGGACCGAAAAAGAGUAGGGAAGCGUCUGAGUUCACGCUGGCGAGAAAAGCUGCUAAGGAGAGUGUGAGUGCCCGUACCGGAAACCGACGCAGGUGGGCGAGGAGAGAAUCCUGAGACGGACGGGAGAACUCUUGUUAAGGAACUCGGCAAAAUGACCCCGUAACUUCGGGAGAAGGGGUGCCUCGAAAGAGGCCGCAGAGAAUAGUCACAAGCGACUGUUUAGCAAAAACACAGGUAUCUGCGAAAGCGAGAGCUGACGUAUAGGUGCUGACGCCUGCCCGGUGCUGGAAGGUUAAGGGGAAGUGUUAGGGGAAACCCGAAGCAGAGAACCGAAGCCCCAGUAAACGGCGGCCGUAACUAUAACGGUCCUAAGGUAGCGAAAUUCCUUGUCGGGUAAGUUCCGACCCGCACGAAUGGCGUAACGACUUGUGAGCUGUCUCAACAGGAGGCCCGGUGAAAUUGAAGUAUGUGUGAAGAUGCACAUUACCCGCGACUGGACGGAAAGACCCCGUAGAGCUUUACUGUAACCUGACAUUGGAUCUUGAUAACGGAUGCACAGGAUAGGUGGGACGCAGAGAGACGAGGACUUCGGUUUUCGUGGAGCGGCCGUUGGGAUACCACUCUUCUGUUAUUGAGAUUCUAACCUCAAGCCGUAAGCCGGAUGAGAGACAGUGUCAGGCGGACAGUUUGACUGGGGCGGUCGCCUCCGAAAGAGUAACGGAGGCGCCCAAAGGUACCCUCAGAAUGGAUGGAAACCAUUCGAAGAGAGCAAAGUCAGAAGGGUGCUUGACUGCGAGACCAACAAGUCGAGCAGGUACGAAAGUAGGGCUUAGUGAUCCGGCGGUAAGAGAGUGGAAUUGCCGUCGCUCAACGGAUAAAAGCUACCUCGGGGAUAACAGGCUGAUCUCCCCCAAGAGUUCACAUCGACG